RNAcentral lists this ribosomal RNA (343 nucleotides) under uncultured Prevotella sp. RNAcentral describes it as "bacterial SSU rRNA". It matches the Rfam family "Bacterial small subunit ribosomal RNA", at positions 186 to 525 of the family's 1533-position model. The record is from RNAcentral. Lineage: Bacteria; Pseudomonadati; Bacteroidota; Bacteroidia; Bacteroidales; Prevotellaceae.
UGACAUCAAAUAAACGAUUAAAGGUUUAGCGGUUAUGGAUGGGGAUGCGUCUGAUUAGCUUGUUGGCGGGGUAACGGCCCACCAAGGCGACGAUCAGUAGGGGUUCUGAGAGGAAGGUCCCCACAUUGGAACUGAGACACGGUCCAAACUCCUACGGGAGGCAGCAGUGAGGAAUAUUGGUCAAUGGGCGAGAGCCUGAACCAGCCAAGUAGCGUGCAGGACGACGGCCCUAUGGGUUGUAAACUGCUUUUAUGUGGGGAUAAAGUGCGUGACGUGUCAUGCAUUGCAGGUACCACAUGAAUAAGGGACCGGGCUAAUUCCCGUGCCAGCAGCCGCGGUAAAU